Molecule: long non-coding RNA, 607 nt
Filed under: Rattus norvegicus (Norway rat)
Lineage: Eukaryota; Metazoa; Chordata; Mammalia; Rodentia; Muridae
Description: long non-coding RNA NONRATT012112
Source: RNAcentral
UGUUUUGUGCAGGAAUAGAAACCCUGACUAAGACAGUAGUCCAAUAACAUCCAUCUCUGUGCUGGAGAGGCUGAGUGUAUAGCAGUGGCUCAGCCUGUGAGGCUGGACACCUCAGCAGCCCUGAUCUGACCCUGAAAGCACAGGGUUUCCUGGAGAGGGACAUUGGUCUUCAGUCCACAGUCAAAAACCGAAGAUUUGGGUUCUGAUGUCAUCAGCAAAAUCAACGGGGAUAGAAAUCAUUAAACAGGAAGUGAACGCAGGCCGACAAAGCUGUGUGUCCUCACGUUUUUCUACUGAGGUCACCUGCUGUUGCCUUCACUUGUCCACUCUGAGCAGGGACCCAGCCCCUCAGUUAACCCUUCCUGAAAAGGCCUUACCAACAACCCUGAGGUACGCCUCUCAGUGGAUUCCAGGUCUUGUCAAGUUGAUGGUUGAGAUUUACCUUCACAUUCUCCCUCCAAGACGAGCUUCACUGUCAAAUGACUUUUACCUCCACAUCUUUACCCUUGCUUAACUUGCAUUUAGGUUUUUAUGUCAUUGCUUAGCAUGAGGACAAUUUGUCUUUUAUAAGUUUUUCCACACAUACACACCCGCACAAACACAUGUG